Non-coding RNA from Phascolarctos cinereus (koala), 1182 nucleotides. NCBI's taxonomy places the organism in Eukaryota, Metazoa, Chordata, Mammalia, Diprotodontia, Phascolarctidae. The record is from RefSeq and is a predicted model, not a curated record.
CCUUCUGGAUUUUACUUAACUUCUUUGUUGCUCUGUUCUCUUAUCUGUCAAAAGAAAAUAAACGCCUGCUCUGCCUACCUGACUGCAUUAUGAAGAUCAAAUGAGAUAGCACUUUGAAAAUUGUAUUGUGAUCUCUUUCUACGUAGACCUGAUGAUGAGGCACAUCACUAGAAUACCAAUGAGAAUAUGGAAGCCAGGACCACAGUUGGAGAGGUAGUAUGCCAGAGAAGUAGUUUUGUGGUCCAGAAGAUUUGGGUCCUGCCUAGAGCUGUCUGCCUCUGCCAGGUACUGACUGUGUGAUCCUGGGCAAACAGUUUAACCUUCCAGUUCCCCCCUCAGUAAUCUACAUUGGUAGAGAGAGUUUUGUCACUAGGAGUUCUCAAUUUCCAAGAAAUCAUAGGUCCAGACCAGAAAAACAUAAACAAACACUCAUAGUUAAGGACAGUUUUAUAUAGAAAGCUGGUCUCUAAAAAGAUACUUUGACACAGGUAACAAAAAAGAAACAACUUUAUAUAGUAUGGUACAAGUGGCCAUGGUCAGGACUUGGGCUCAAGAGCGCUGGGAUUCAAAUCCCCUUUGUGAUACUUAUUCUGAGACUUGGCUAAGCUAAUUCACUUCUCUGAGGUUGUUUCCUCAUCUUUCCUAGCAUCUGUAACAGCUACCUGAGGGGUUGUUGUGAGGAAAGUACUUUGCAAAAUUAAAAUACAAGAGUGAAUUUCCAUUAUCUUUAUGAGGUGGUUUAUGAUAAGUGGUUUGAAAAGUGGUAGACUGUAGUUUUCCAGGUAUAUCAAGGAGCAAAGAUUCUAGGAGAGAUUAAAAAUAAUUUAAAAAACUAAGGCAAUUUUGCUCCUAAAUUGCAUUGUAGAUUUUGAGCUGGCAGGUUAUUUAGUCCAAGUCUCUCGAUUUACAUUUGAGGAAAAAGAACCAGGAGGGUUAACUGACUUGCUCAAAGUCACACAGGAACUAAGUAUAGAGCCAACAUUAGAACUCAGGUCUUAUACUUCCAAACUCAGCACUUUUUCCUCUGUACCGCUCUAACAAAGUUACAUGUAUUAUCAACAGAGUAAUUCCACCGUUAUGGGAAACUCACAAUCUGAAGUCUUGAGAGGUGGCUUUUUUUCCCCCUCUGUAUAACAGCCUUUUCAUUUUCUUUCAAAAAUAAAAUUUUAUUUGAUAGGUUUU